UACGUAGGAUGCGAGCGUUGUCCGGAUUUACUGGGCGUAAAGAGCUCGUAGGCGGGGGCGCACGUCUCGGAGGAAAUUCCAGGGCUCAACCCUGGAGCUAUCUGGGAUACGGCGCCUCUUGAGGACAGAAGAGGAGAACAGAAUUCCCGGUGUAGCGGUGAAAUGCGUAGAUAUCGGGAGGAAUACCAGUGGCGAAGGCGGUUCUCUGGUCUGUUCCUGACGCUGAGGAGCGAAAGCGUGGGUAGCGAACGGGAUUAGAUACCCCGGUAGUCCACGCCGUAAACGAUGGACACUAGGUGUAGGAGGUAUCGACCCCUUCUGUGCCGGAGUUAACACAUUAAGUGUCCCGCCUGGGGAGUACGGCCGCAAGGUUGAA
RNAcentral lists this ribosomal RNA (376 nucleotides) under uncultured bacterium. RNAcentral's name for it is "bacterial SSU rRNA". It matches the Rfam family "Bacterial small subunit ribosomal RNA", at positions 524 to 898 of the family's 1533-position model. The record is from RNAcentral.